GCGGAGUCCGUAUGGAGGACUCGGACUCGGCGGCAAAACAGCUGGGCCUGGCCGAGGCGGCAGCGGUGGCGGCCGCUGCCGCUGUGGCGGCGGCCGCCGCGGCCGCAGCGGAAAGCGAGGCAGAGGAGCCGGUGUUAAGCAGAGACGAGGACUCGGAGGAGGACGCAGACUCCGAGGCGGAGCGCGAGACGCGGCGGGUCACGGCUGUGGCGGUGAUGGCGGCCGAAUCUGGGCACAUGGAUAUGGGUACCGAGGCUCUGCCCAGCCCCGAUGAGGCCGCCGCCGCCGCCGCCUUCGCAGAAGUGACCACAGUGACUGUGGCCAAUGUGGGGUCCUCUGCAGAUAAUGUCUUCACAACAUCAGUGGCAAAUGCGGCAUCGAUAUCAGGACAUGUCCUGUCUGGUAGGACAGCCCUGCAGAUCGGUGACAGCCUGAACACUGAGAAAGCCACACUGAUAGUUGUCCACACUGAUGGGAGCAUUGUGGAGACCACUGGGCUGAAGGGCCCAGCAGCACCCCUCACUCCAGGUCCUCAGUCUCCUCCUACCCCACUGGCACCAGGCCAGGAGAAAGGUGGCACCAAGUACAACUGGGACCCUUCGGUGUAUGACAGCGAGCUGCCUGUGCGCUGUCGGAACAUCAGUGGCACGCUCUACAAGAGUAGGCUCGGCUCAGGUGGCCGUGGGCGGUGUAUCAAGCAGGGAGAAAACUGGUACAGCCCAACUGAGUUUGAAGCCAUGGCAGGAAGAGCCAGCAGCAAGGACUGGAAGAGAAGCAUCCGUUAUGCAGGCAGACCCCUGCAGUGCCUCAUCCAGGAUGGUAUUUUGAAUCCUCAUGCUGCCUCCUGUACCUGUGCUGCCUGCUGUGAUGACAUGACUCUAAGUGGCCCUGUCAGGCUCUUCGUCCCUUAUAAAAGGCGCAAGAAAGAGAAUGAGCUGCCUACGACGCCAGUGAAGAAGGAUUCCCCCAAGAACAUCACGCUGCUUCCUGCCACAGCGGCCACCACCUUCACUGUGACACCCUCAGGACAGAUCACUACCUCUGGAGCACUAACCUUUGACCGAGCAUCCACUGUAGAGGCCACUGCUGUCAUCUCUGAGAGCCCAGCCCAAGGCGAUGUCUUUGCAGGAGCCACAGUGCAAGAGGCAGGUGUGCAGCCUCCCUGCAGGGUUGGCCACCCUGAACCUCACUACCCUGGCUAUCAGGACAGUUGUCAGAUUGCCCCGUUUCCAGAAGCUGCAUUGCCAACAUCACAUCCCAAAAUUGGUGCACCCCAACAGAAAUGUGUGAGCAGACUAUCUCCUUGCCUUGACGAGCCAUGGAAGUGGAUCAGGCUGUGUCUGUUCCUGACUUCGCUGCCCGCCUUGGCUGUGCCACCCUCCACUCCCACCAAAGCCGUCUCUCCCACUGUGGUCAGUGGGCUGGAGAUGUCAGAACAUCGGAGCUGGCUGUACCUGGAGGAGAUGGUCAAUUCCCUACUCAACACAGCGCAGCAGCUGAAGACGCUGUUUGAACAAGCCAAGCAGGCGAGCUCUUGCAGGGAAGCUGCUGUGACCCAGGCGAGAAUGCAGGUUGAUGCAGAGAGGAAAGAGAAAAACUGAAGCAUUAGUACAGAGGGUCCCUGUGACCACCACAGGCUGUCCUCCAGGAGUGUGUCAAUCAUAGCCCUCUUGUCCCGCCUCUGAACACAAAUGCCAGCUCCACACUCUGAAGUCUGGCAAGUCAUCUGUUGGACAUGCUCAGACUGGCUUCUCACAGUGGAACUGACAGAAGGCUUCAGCAGGAAGAACACAUCCUAUCUUGCCACAUCCUGUGUUCAGUGGCAAUCCUUGCAGCCUGGACAAGGAUGCCUGCCAUUGUCUGCUGUCCCUCCCUCUGCAGACCUGGUCACUGAGCAAAUUCACCUGGGAGCUCUCCUGGACAGGAGUCAAAGAGACAGGUGGAUUCCUGAUUCCUGUCCUCUCCUGGACAGGAGUCGGGGUUAACCAACCAAUUUGUCUCCAGCCCUAUUGAUCUCUGUCUGGUCACAUAUUUCUAGCAGGGUGAACCCAGUGAUGUUUUAAGAUCUCUGGUUAUAGCCAGUGCUGUCUUCCUAGUUACUGUGUGUCUGGACCCCCACUCUUCCCAUAGUGCCUUCCCAACUCUGGUCUACCAAUUCUGUCUACGUGGUUACGGACUUUUUUACAGUAUUUUGUCAUUUAAGGUGAAGGCAGUCUAGAGGCUUGGUCCAGUGCUGGAGACCAGGCUAAUUCAGUUCCCAGGAUCCAACUGCAGUUAACGCUUUCUAAAGGGACAGAGGUAGUUGAUGUUUCACAGAUAGGAAGAUGGUGAUCACGGUGAAGACCACAGAGGGAACCUAAAAUUCAGAACAAGAGCCUACAAGUAGCUUGGGUUUCCAGCAUACCUGCAAAAACAGUGGUAGAGUGGACUGGGUAGCUUGUGAGCCCAGUAGUCACAUGCGUAUAUUGUGUAUAUUGGUCACAGCAGCUAGCUGCCCGCUGCCUACCAGCAUGGGUCCCUUUGGCCUGUGUGACCU
This is an RNA transcript of Apodemus sylvaticus (European woodmouse), 2536 nucleotides long. It is a transcript of the gene named DEAF1 transcription factor, with no coding region annotated. The record is from RefSeq and is a predicted model, not a curated record. The transcript has 13 exons. NCBI's taxonomy places the organism in Eukaryota, Metazoa, Chordata, Mammalia, Rodentia, Muridae.